UGGGGAAUUUUGGACAAUGGGCGAAAGCCUGAUCCAGCAAUGCCGCGUGUGUGAAGAAGGCCUUCGGGUUGUAAAGCACUUUUGUCCGGAAAGAAAUGGCUCUGGUUAAUACCUGGGGUCGAUGACGGUACCGGAAGAAUAAGGACCGGCUAACUACGUGCCAGCAGCCGCGGUAAUACGUAGGGUCCAAGCGUUAAUCGGAAUUACUGGGCGUAAAGCGUGCGCAGGCGGUUGUGCAAGACCGAUGUGAAAUCCCCGAGCUUAACUUGGGAAUCGCAUUGGUGACUGCACGGCUAGAGUGUGUCAGAGGGGGGUAGAAUUCCACGUGUAGCAGUGAAAUGCGUAGAGAUGUGGAGGAAUACCGAUGGCGAAGGCAGCCCCCUGGGAUAACACUGACGCUCAUGCACGAAAGCGUGGGGAGCAAACAGG
Molecule: ribosomal RNA, 429 nt
Filed under: Bacillota bacterium
Lineage: Bacteria; Bacillati; Bacillota
Also listed under: 1 other name
Description: Firmicutes bacterium partial 16S ribosomal RNA
Rfam family: Bacterial small subunit ribosomal RNA
Source: RNAcentral